Molecule: ribosomal RNA, 468 nt
Filed under: uncultured bacterium
Lineage: Bacteria
Description: partial 16S ribosomal RNA
Rfam family: Bacterial small subunit ribosomal RNA
Source: RNAcentral
GACGAACGCUGGCGGCGUGCUUAACACAUGCAAGUCGAACGGAAAGGCCCUGCUUUUGUGGGGUGCUCGAGUGGCGAACGGGUGAGUAACACGUGAGUAACCUGCCCUUGACUUUGGGAUAACUUCAGGAAACUGGGGCUAAUACCGGAUAGGAGCUCCUGCUGCAUGGUGGGGGUUGGAAAGUUUCGGCGGUUGGGGAUGGACUCGCGGCUUAUCAGCUUGUUGGUGGGGUAGUGGCUUACCAAGGCUUUGACGGGUAGCCGGCCUGAGAGGGUGAACGGCCACCUUGGGACUGAGAUACCGCCCAGACUCCUACGGGGGGCAGCAGUGGGGAAUAUUGCACAAUGGGCGGAAGCCUGAUGCAGCAACGCCGCGUGCGGGAUGACGGCCUUCGGGUUGUAAACCGCUUUCGCCUGUGACGAAGCGUGAGUGACGGUAAUGGGUAAAGAAGCACCGGCUAACUACGUG